RNA transcript from Cicer arietinum (chickpea), 902 nucleotides. RefSeq lists it as uncharacterized. The record is from RefSeq and is a predicted model, not a curated record. NCBI's taxonomy places the organism in Eukaryota, Viridiplantae, Streptophyta, Magnoliopsida, Fabales, Fabaceae.
AUUGACUCUCCACUAAAGUAUAACUAAUAAGAAAACCAACACUUCCAACCGAAAGGCGAUUCUUCGAUUUCUCUCUCCCGGGGAAAAGAACAACGAUUGAAAUAACAUACUAUUUUUUUACGCUCUCAUAUUUUCUGGGAUCCACGGUUACACCUUUCAAUUCAGACUUAAAGAGAGGAAAGAAGAAGGUGAAGAGUGAUAAAUUCUAACAAUAGGUUAAAAUGUCUGCGCUUUUCAAUUUCCAUUCAUUUCUUACUGUGAUACUUUUGGGAAUAUGUGCAUGCACUUACUUCAAGAUGCAAUUUCCAGCAAUCCUUGAACAGAGAACUGGAUUUCGUGGUUUUUUCUGGAAGGCGGCAAGAAUUGGUGAACGUUUAAGUCCGUGGGUAGGCAUGGGUUGUUUCAUGAUGGGUGUUUCAAUAAUCUUCUUCUAAGCUUUAUUUCCAUCUACUCAAUAUUCAGCAUUGUUGAUCAUGGUAGCAUUUAUCCUGGGAAGGGGGUGUUGGGGACCUUGUUGGGGUUGAUUUGUAGCGAAGGGAAAGGCCAUAAGUAGAAUAAGCUAAUUUACGGAUGGAAACUUGGAAAGGGCAUCUAUUCUAGGCUCUACUUCAGUUUUGUAUGCUACAUGGUCUGCAGAUCUACAAUAUGAGAGUUUGUUGGAGCACCUGAAACUCCACUGUUUGGCUCUUUUUCUGUAUAGCAGCUCGAAUCCGGCUAACCAUUUUUUCACUUUGUAACUUAAUCUUAUUCAGACACUGAAAUUGUAUUUGUAGAAUUUGCUUGCCCUUUCGUUAGGUUGAAUUUUUUUCUGUUCAUCCCUCCAGUAUACUUUGUACGAAGGAACUCAAAUAGCUGUUUUCUUCAUUCCAAAAUUUUGGUAGUUUAAGUAUUUUAUUUCAAAA